Molecule: long non-coding RNA, 1774 nt
Organism: Dreissena polymorpha
Lineage: Eukaryota; Metazoa; Mollusca; Bivalvia; Myida; Dreissenidae
Exons: 2
Source: RefSeq, a predicted model, not a curated record
UAUUGGACGGUGUGUUGCACGAAAAAAUUACGUCGAUAUCUCCAAGGUCAAGGUCACACUUAAAGUUUAAAGGUAAAAAAUGGCCAUAAAUGAGCUUGUCCGGGCCAUAACUAUGUUGUUCAUUGUGAGAUUUUAAAAUCAUAUGACUAAACUGGGCCUGUGAGAAGGCUUGUCUGGAGCUAUGCUGGCCACACAUAGCUUAACUUUAGCUGACAGGGUAGCUCCUGACUAAACUGGGCCUGUGAGAAGGCUUGUCUGGAGCUACGCUGGCCACACAUAGCUUAACUUUAGCUGACAGGGUAGCUACUGACUAAACUGGGCCUAUGAGAAGGCUUGUCUGGAGCUAGGCCGACCACAUAUAGCUUACCUUUAGCUGACAGUGUAGCUCCUGACUAAACUGAGCCUAUGAGAAGGCUUGUAUGGAGCUACGCUGGCCACACAUAGCUUAACUUUAGCUUACAGGGUAGCUCCUGACUAAACUGGGCCUGUGAGAAGGCUUGUCUGGAGCUACGCUGGCCACACAUAGCUUAACUUUAGCUGACAGGGUAGCUACUGACUAAACUGGGCCUGUGAGAAGGCUUGUCUGGAGCUACGCUGGCCACACAUAGCUUAACUUUAGCUGACAGGGUAGCUCCUGACUAAACUGGGCCUGUGAGAAGGCUUGUCUGGAGCUACGCUGGCCACACAUAGCUUAACUUUAGCUGACAGUGUAGCUCCUGUCUAAACUGGGCCUGUGAGAAGGCUUGUCUGGAGCUACGCUGGUCACACAUAGCUUAACUUAAGCUGACAGGGUAGCUCCUGACUAAACUGGGCCUGUGAGAAGGCUAGUCAUGGUAGCUCCUGACUAAACUGGGCCUAUGAGAAGGCUUGUCUGGAGCUACGCUGGCCACACAUAGCUUAACUUUAGCUGACAGGGUAGCUACUGACUAAACUGGGCCUGUGAGAAGGCUUGUCUGGAGCUACGCUGGCCACACAUAGCUUAACUUUAGCUGACAGGGUAGCUCCUGACUUAACUGGGCCUGUGAGAAGGCUUGUCAGGGUAGCUCCUGACUAAACUGGGCCUAUGAGAAGGCUUGUCUGGAGCUACGCUGGCCACACAUAGCUUAACUUUAGCUGACAGGGUAGCUCCUGACUAAACUGGGCCUAUGAGAAGGCUUGUCAUGGUAGCUCCUGACUAAACUGGGCCUGUGAGAAGGCUUGUCAGGGUAGCUCCUGACUAAACUGGGCCUAUGAGAAGGCUUGUAUGGAGCUACGCUGGCCACACAUAGCUUAACUUUAGCUGACAGGGUAGCUCCUGACUAAACUGGGCCUAUGAGAAGGCUUGUCAUGGUAGCUCCUGACUAAACUGGGCCUAUGUGAAGGCUUUUCCUGAGCUACGCUGGCCACACAUAGCUUAACUUUAGCUGACAGGGUAGCUACUGACUAAACUGGGCCUAUGAGAAGGCUUGUCUGGAGCCUAUGAGAAGGCUUGUCUGGAGUUACGCUGGCCACAUGUAGCUUAAGACCCGUUUUCUCAUGACGCCGCUCAUUUUAUUUAGAAAAUGCGUCCAAUUAGCUGUAAAUGUCAUCUACUACGUGCUUUUAGUGUUGCACAUGUGUUAGAAGUGUUAUAAAAAUGUUCAUGUUCUGACUGUUAGUAAGAAAUGUUAUCAUAUUGAACUAGGUAAAUGUUUUAUUAUUAGAAUCAUGUUUAUAAAUGUGUUUUUUUCAUAUGCUGUAUAUUCCUAAAAAUGAAAUAUGUUCUAAAAGCUUAGUAAAACCAUUUAUUGGUUAA